Molecule: ribosomal RNA, 910 nt
Filed under: uncultured bacterium
Lineage: Bacteria
Description: bacterial SSU rRNA
Rfam family: Bacterial small subunit ribosomal RNA
Source: RNAcentral
AACGCUGGCGGCGUGCCUAAUGCAUGCAAGUCGAACGCACUGACAGAGAAACUUGUUUCUCUUGACGUGAGUGGCGCACGGGUGAGUAACACGUGGGAAACCUACCCUUCAGCGGGGGAUAACCGUCGGAAACGAUGGCUAAUACCGCAUAGGUCUUUUAACCGCCUGGUUGAAAGAGGAAAGACGGCUUCGGCUGUCACUGAAGGAUGGUCCCGCGGUGCAUUAGCUAGUUGGUAAGGUAACGGCUUACCAAGGCGAUGAUGCAUAGCCGACCUGAGAGGGUGAUCGGCCACAUUGGGACUGAGACACGGCCCAAACUCCUACGGGAGGCAGCAGUAGGGAAUCUUCCGCAAUGGACGAAAGUCUGACGGAGCAACGCCGCGUGUGUGAAGAAGGUCUUCGGAUCGUAAAGCACUGUUAUUAGAGAAAAACAACCGGUAGAGUAACUGUUACCGGCUUGACGGUAUCUAACCAGAAAGCCACGGCUAACUACGUGCCAGCAGCCGCGGUAAUACGUAGGUGGCAAGCGUUGUCCGGAUUUAUUGGGCGUAAAGGGAGCGCAGGCGGUUCCUUAAGUCUGAUGUGAAAGCCCACGGCUCAACCGUGGAAGGUCAUUGGAAACUGGGGAACUUGAGUGCAGAAGAGGAGAGUGGAAUUCCAUGUGUAGCGGUGAAAUGCGUAGAUAUAUGGAGGAACACCAGUGGCGAAGGCGACUCUCUGGUCUGUAACUGACGCUGAGCUCGAAAGCGUGGGGAGCAAACAGGAUUAGAUACCCUGUAGUCCACGCCGUAAACGAUGAGUGCUAAGUGUUGGAGGGUUUCCACCCUUCAGUGCUGCAGCUAACGCAUUAAGCACUCCGCCUGGGGAGUACGGCCGCAAGGCUGAAACUCAAAGGAAUUGACGGGACCCG